UAGAGUUUGAUCCUGGCUCAGAACGAACGCUGGCGGCAUGCCUAACACAUGCAAGUCGAACGAUCCCUUCGGGGAUAGUGGCGCACGGGUGCGUAACGCGUGGGAAUCUGCCCUUGGGUUCGGAAUAACAGUGAGAAAUUACUGCUAAUACCGGAUGAUGUCUUCGGACCAAAGAUUUAUCGCCCAAGGAUGAGCCCGCGUAGGAUUAGCUAGUUGGUGGGGUAAUGGCCUACCAAGGCGACGAUCCUUAGCUGGUCUGAGAGGAUGAUCAGCCACACUGGGACUGAGACACGGCCCAGACUCCUACGGGAGGCAGCAGUGGGGAAUAUUGGACAAUGGGCGCAAGCCUGAUCCAGCAAUGCCGCGUGAGUGAUGAAGGCCUUAGGGUUGUAAAGCUCUUUUACCCGGGAUGAUAAUGACAGUACCGGGAGAAUAAGCUCCGGCUAACUCCGUGCCAGCAGCCCCGGUCAA
This 471-nucleotide ribosomal RNA is filed under the name uncultured bacterium. RNAcentral describes it as "bacterial SSU rRNA". It matches the Rfam family "Bacterial small subunit ribosomal RNA", at positions 1 to 524 of the family's 1533-position model. The record is from RNAcentral.